This 378-nucleotide unclassified non-coding RNA is filed under the name plant metagenome. Its description in RNAcentral is "partial contains 5.8S ribosomal RNA, internal transcribed spacer 2, and large subunit ribosomal RNA". The stretch from base 1 to 105 matches the Rfam family "5.8S ribosomal RNA", at positions 50 to 154 of the family's 154-position model. The record is from RNAcentral.
GAAAUGCGAUAAGUAAUGUGAAUUGCAGAAUUCAGUGAAUCAUCGAAUCUUUGAACGCACCUUGCGCUCCUUGGUAUUCCUUGGAGCAUGCCUGUUUGAGUAUCAUGAAAUCUUCAAAGUAAAUCUUUUGUUAACUCAAUUGGUUUCUACUUUGGUAUUGGAGGUCUUUGCAGCUUCACACCUGCUCCUCUUUGUUCAUUAGCUGGAUCUCAGUGUUAUGCUUGGUUCCACUCGGCGUGAUAAGUUAUCUAUCGCUGAGGACACUGUAAAGGGUGGCCAAGGUAAAUGCAGAUGAACCGCUUCUAAUAGUCCAUUGACUUGGACAAUACUUUUAUGAUCUGAUCUCAAAUCAGGUAGGACUACCCGCUGAACUUAAGA